Molecule: ribosomal RNA, 496 nt
Filed under: uncultured bacterium
Lineage: Bacteria
Description: partial 16S ribosomal RNA
Rfam family: Bacterial small subunit ribosomal RNA
Source: RNAcentral
GAUGAACGCUGGCGGCGUGCCUAAUACAUGCAAGUCGAGCGAACAGAUGAGGAGCUUGCUCCUCUGACGUUAGCGGCGGACGGGUGAGUAACACGUGGAUAACCUACCUAUAAGACUGGGAUAACUUCGGGAAACCGGAGCUAAUACCGGAUAAUAUAUUGAACCGCAUGGUUCAAUAGUGAAAGACGGUUUUGCUGUCACUUAUAGAUGGAUCCGCGCCGCAUUAGCUAGUUGGUAAGGUAACGGCUUACCAAGGCAGCGAUGCGUAGCCGACCUGAGAGGGUGAUCGGCCACACUGGAACUGAGACACGGUCCAGACUCCUACGGGAGGCAGCAGUAGGGAAUCUUCCGCAAUGGGCGAAAGCCUGACGGAGCAACGCCGCGUGAGUGAUGAAGGUCUUCGGAUCGUAAAACUCUGUUAUUAGGGAAGAACAAAUGUGUAAGUAACUAUGCACGUCUUGACGGUACCUAAUCAGAAAGCCACGGCUAACUACGU